UCCCCUUGGUGGCCAAAGCUAGGCUCAG
RNAcentral lists this non-coding RNA (28 nucleotides) under Mus musculus (house mouse). The record is from RNAcentral. Lineage: Eukaryota; Metazoa; Chordata; Mammalia; Rodentia; Muridae.